This 76-nucleotide transfer RNA is filed under the name Acidimicrobiaceae bacterium. Its description in RNAcentral is "tRNA-Met". It matches the Rfam family "tRNA". Rfam says of the family: Transfer RNA (tRNA) molecules are approximately 80 nucleotides in length. Their secondary structure includes four short double-helical elements and three loops (D, anti-codon, and T loops). The record is from RNAcentral. Lineage: Bacteria; Bacillati; Actinomycetota; Acidimicrobiia; Acidimicrobiales; Acidimicrobiaceae.
GGGCCGGUAGCUCAGUGGUUAGAGCAGGCGACUCAUAAUCGCUCGGUCGUGAGUUCGAUUCUCACCCGGCCCACGA